This 1524-nucleotide ribosomal RNA is filed under the name Salmonella enterica. Its description in RNAcentral is "partial 23S ribosomal RNA". It matches the Rfam family "Bacterial large subunit ribosomal RNA", at positions 1428 to 2925 of the family's 2925-position model. Lineage: Bacteria; Pseudomonadati; Pseudomonadota; Gammaproteobacteria; Enterobacterales; Enterobacteriaceae. The record is from RNAcentral.
GGUUAAUAUUCCCGUACUUGGUGUUACUGCGAAGGGGGGACGGAGAAGGCUAUGUUGGCCGGGCGACGGUUGUCCCGGUUUAAGCGUGUAGGUGUGUGUUCCAGGUAAAUCCGGUUCACUUUAACACUGAGGCGUGACGACGAGGCACUACGGUGCUGAAGCAACAAAUGCCCUGCUUCCAGGAAAAGCCUCUAAGCAUCAGGUAACAUCAAAUCGUACCCCAAACCGACACAGGUGGUCAGGUAGAGAAUACCAAGGCGCUUGAGAGAACUCGGGUGAAGGAACUAGGCAAAAUGGUGCCGUAACUUCGGGAGAAGGCACGCUGACACGUAGGUGAAGUGAUUUACUCAUGGAGCUGAAGUCAGUCGAAGAUACCAGCUGGCUGCAACUGUUUAUUAAAAACACAGCACUGUGCAAACACGAAAGUGGACGUAUACGGUGUGACGCCUGCCCGGUGCCGGAAGGUUAAUUGAUGGGGUCAGCGCAAGCGAAGCUCCUGAUCGAAGCCCCGGUAAACGGCGGCCGUAACUAUAACGGUCCUAAGGUAGCGAAAUUCCUUGUCGGGUAAGUUCCGACCUGCACGAAUGGCGUAAUGAUGGCCAGGCUGUCUCCACCCGAGACUCAGUGAAAUUGAACUCGCUGUGAAGAUGCAGUGUACCCGCGGCAAGACGGAAAGACCCCGUGAACCUUUACUAUAGCUUGACACUGAACAUUGAGCCUUGAUGUGUAGGAUAGGUGGGAGGCUUUGAAGUGUGGACGCCAGUCUGCAUGGAGCCGACCUUGAAAUACCACCCUUUAAUGUUUGAUGUUCUAACGUGGACCCGUAAUCCGGGUUGCGGACAGUGUCUGGUGGGUAGUUUGACUGGGGCGGUCUCCUCCUAAAGAGUAACGGAGGAGCACGAAGGUUGGCUAAUCCUGGUCGGACAUCAGGAGGUUAGUGCAAUGGCAUAAGCCAGCUUGACUGCGAGCGUGACGGCGCGAGCAGGUGCGAAAGCAGGUCAUAGUGAUCCGGUGGUUCUGAAUGGAAGGGCCAUCGCUCAACGGAUAAAAGGUACUCCGGGGAUAACAGGCUGAUACCGCCCAAGAGUUCAUAUCGACGGCGGUGUUUGGCACCUCGAUGUCGGCUCAUCACAUCCUGGGGCUGAAGUAGGUCCCAAGGGUAUGGCUGUUCGCCAUUUAAAGUGGUACGCGAGCUGGGUUUAGAACGUCGUGAGACAGUUCGGUCCCUAUCUGCCGUGGGCGCUGGAGAACUGAGGGGGGCUGCUCCUAGUACGAGAGGACCGGAGUGGACGCAUCACUGGUGUUCGGGUUGUCAUGCCAAUGGCACUGCCCGGUAGCUAAAUGCGGAAGAGAUAAGUGCUGAAAGCAUCUAAGCACGAAACUUGCCCCGAGAUGAGUUCUCCCUGAGACUUUAAGUCUCCUGAAGGAACGUUGAAGACGACGACGUUGAUAGGCCGGGUGUGUAAGCGCAGCGAUGCGUUGAGCUAACCGGUACUAAUGAACCGUGAGGCUUAACCUUACAAC